Molecule: transfer RNA, 69 nt
Filed under: Pycnoscelus nigra
Lineage: Eukaryota; Metazoa; Arthropoda; Insecta; Blattodea; Blaberidae
Description: tRNA-Gln
Source: RNAcentral
UACAUUUUAGUGUAUGAAGCACGUGAAUUUUUGAUGUUCUCAGAAUUAGUUUAAUUCUAUUAAAUGUAG